GAUGAACGCUGGCGGCGUGCCUAAUACAUGCAAGUCGAGCGAACAGACGAGGAGCUUGCUCCUCUGACGUUAGCGGCGGACGGGUGAGUAACACGUCGAUAACCCACCUAUAAGACUGGGAUAACUUCGGGAAACCGGAGCUAAUACCGGAUAAUAUAUUGAACCGCAUGGUUCAAUAGUGAAAGACGGUUUUGAUGUCACGUAUAGAUGGAUCCGCGCGGCAUUAGCUAGUUGGUAAGGUAACGGCUUACCAAGGCAACGAUGCGUAGCCGACCGGAGAUGGUGAUCGGCCCCACUGGAACUGAGACACGCUUCAGACUCCUACGGGAGGCAGCAGUAGGGAAUCUGCCGUAAUGGGCGAAAGCCUGACGGAGCAACGCGGCGUGAGUGAGGAAGUUCUUCGGAUCGUAAAACUCUGUUAGUAGGGAAGAACAAAUGUGUCAGUAACUAUGCACGUCUUGACGGUACCUAAUCAGAAAGCCACGGCUAACUUCGUG
Molecule: ribosomal RNA, 497 nt
Filed under: uncultured bacterium
Lineage: Bacteria
Description: partial 16S ribosomal RNA
Rfam family: Bacterial small subunit ribosomal RNA
Source: RNAcentral